RNAcentral lists this ribosomal RNA (253 nucleotides) under uncultured bacterium. Its description in RNAcentral is "partial 16S ribosomal RNA". It matches the Rfam family "Bacterial small subunit ribosomal RNA", at positions 524 to 776 of the family's 1533-position model. The record is from RNAcentral.
UACGUAGGGUGCAAGCGUUAAUCGGAAUUACUGGGCGUAAAGCGUGCGCAGGCGGUUAUGUAAGACAGUCGUGAAAUCCCCGGGCUCAACCUGGGAACUGCGAUUGUGACUGCAUAGCUAGAGUACGGUAGAGGGGGGUGGAAUUCCGCGUGUAGCAGUGAAAUGCGUAGAUAUGCGGAGGAACACCGAUGGCGAAGGCAGCCCCCUGGACCUGUACUGACGCUCAUGCACGAAAGCAUGGGGAGCAAACAGG